Molecule: small RNA, 1138 nt
Filed under: Pongo abelii (Sumatran orangutan)
Lineage: Eukaryota; Metazoa; Chordata; Mammalia; Primates; Hominidae
Description: processed transcript
Source: RNAcentral
AAUUCGGGUUCCAGCCACGUCUGGAGUCUCGGAGACGAGCUUCUCAGAAGAGCCAAAACAGGAACCGAGGUGGCAAAUCACUGCGAGGGCGAGUGGACCUCCCUCUUUGCCUCCUCCCUGUUCCAGGAGCUGGUCCCCUGGGCUCUGCGCUGUUGUUUUCAGCGCUCCGAAAGCCGGCGCUUCAGAUCCAGGCAAGUGAAUCCAGCCAGGCAGUUUUCCCUUCAGCACCUCGGACAGAACACGCAUGUUCAAUGAGCUGUUUGUCUUUGAUAUUCCUUGUGAGGGCCUUGAAGAUAUAAGUGUUGAAUUUUUGGUUUUGGAUUCUGAAAGGGGGUCCCGAAAUGAGGUAAUCGGGCAGUUAGUCUUGGGUGCAGCAGCAGAAGGAACUGGUGGAGAGCACUGGAAAGAGAUCUGUGACUACCCCAGGAGACAAAUUGCCAAGUGGCACGUGCUCUGUGAUGGUUAGCAUCCUAGCCGUGAGUUGGAACUUAAAGGUUUUUGCUAGGCAAGGAGAAAUCUUGUUUCUUUCGAUAUCGGAUUGCAAGCUUGGGAAAUCAAGCUACCUUUUUUUUGUUGUUGUUGUUGCUAGAAGUGGAUUGAAUUAGUAGACCAGAAAGUAACUUCAAAUGUGUAUCAUGAUAAUUUCCCUAUUUAUUAGAAGAGUUGGAUAAAUUUUCAUAAGAUACUCAGUAUCUCCUUCAGAUUACCAGUGAUAUAACUAGGAAUAGUCAGACAUUUUAUGAAUACUGUGCCAGAAUCCCAAAUUAUAAAUGUGACAAUCUUAUUGGAACAUGUCACAAAAAGUUAAUGUGAUUAAAAUUUAAAAACAAAAAGUAUGCCUUGCCUUGUGAAAAUUUAUCCAUUUAUCUUCAGGUUGGGGAAAUCAAUUUUUCUUUAAAUCCAAAGAUACUAAAAAAAUGUCCUCCAGUUUGUAUUUAUUAAUUAUGUCAUGUGCAAAUGGUUGUCCUGCAUAUAAAAGUAUCUGGUCAUUUCAGUUUGGUUUGUAAUUAUUCGAUGCAAUUUUAUCAUGAGUAACUUAGAUUCAUUUCAAAAGGACAGUGAACAAGCUGAGAAAUUAUUUUAUCAAAGGGCUGAGUUGAGAACACUGUGGCUGAAAUAUAAUUUUUCUCCCCCCUAA